CUGCCAUGGACAGGGCAUGGGAAGCCUCCACCUCCCCCCCCACUCCGUGAGCUGACCUGGGGGGCAGGAGAGGCUAGAGGAAUGGAGCUAGGUUCCCCCCAUGGACGCUGGGGGGGCAGCAAGCCCCUGCCUGGUGCUGUGCAGUGACUGGGGUUGUGGGGUAACCCUCCUAGCCUGUCAUCUCCCCUCCUGCAGAGAUCUCCCUGUGGGCUCCCAGACAGGUGUGCCAGCCCACGAAGCCAGGACUCCUGGGUGUGCCUGGGGCCUGCCAUGCGGAACUGGGGCUCUGAUGGCUGCUAAUCCAGCCCUUUGGGGCUCUACGUGGGGAGAACUGGGCUGCUGGAGCAGCUCCCAGCUUCUGCAGCCCCUGGUG
This is a non-coding RNA of Pelodiscus sinensis (Chinese soft-shelled turtle), 373 nucleotides long. The record is from RefSeq and is a predicted model, not a curated record. NCBI's taxonomy places the organism in Eukaryota, Metazoa, Chordata, Testudines, Trionychidae.